GCUGUAGCUUAGUGGUAGGGAUUCUGUUUCAUAUGCAGAAGGUCCCAGGUUCAAUCCCCAGCAUCUACA
Non-coding RNA from Podarcis lilfordi (Lilford's wall lizard), 69 nucleotides. Lineage: Eukaryota; Metazoa; Chordata; Lepidosauria; Squamata; Lacertidae. The record is from the annotation of a GenBank genome assembly.